GGUUAAUAUUCCUGUACUUGGUGUUACUGCGAAGGGGGGACGGAGAAGGCUAUGUUGGCCGGGCGACGGUUGUCCCGGUUUAAGCGUGUAGGCUGGUUUUCCAGGCAAAUCCGGAAAAUCAAGGCUGAGGCGUGAUGACGAGGCACUACGGUGCUGAAGCGACAAAUGCCCUGCUUCCAGGAAAAGCCUCUAAGCAUCAGGUAACAUCAAAUCGUACCCCAAACCGACACAGGUGGUCAGGUAGAGAAUACCAAGGCGCUUGAGAGAACUCGGGUGAAGGAACUAGGCAAAAUGGUGCCGUAACUUCGGGAGAAGGCACGCUGAUAUGUAGGUGAAGCGACUUGCUCGUGGAGCUGAAAUCAGUCGAAGAUACCAGCUGGCUGCAACUGUUUAUUAAAAACACAGCACUGUGCAAACACGAAAGUGGACGUAUACGGUGUGACGCCUGCCCGGUGCCGGAAGGUUAAUUGAUGGGGUUAGCGGCAACGCGAAGCUCUUGAUCGAAGCCCCGGUAAACGGCGGCCGUAACUAUAACGGUCCUAAGGUAGCGAAAUUCCUUGUCGGGUAAGUUCCGACCUGCACGAAUGGCGUAAUGAUGGCCAGGCUGUCUCCACCCGAGACUCAGUGAAAUUGAACUCGCUGUGAAGAUGCAGUGUACCCGCGGCAAGACGGAAAGACCCCGUGAACCUUUACUAUAGCUUGACACUGAACAUUGAGCCUUGAUGUGUAGGAUAGGUGGGAGGCUUUGAAGUGUGGACGCCAGUCUGCAUGGAGCCGACCUUGAAAUACCACCCUUUAAUGUUUGAUGUUCUAACGUGGGCCCCUUACCGGGGUUGCGGACAGUGUCUGGUGGGUAGUUUGACUGGGGCGGUCUCCUCCUAAAGAGUAACGGAGGAGCACGAAGGUUGGCUAAUCCUGGUCGGACAUCAGGAGGUUAGUGCAAUGGCAUAAGCCAGCUUGACUGCGAGCGUGACGGCGCGAGCAGGUGCGAAAGCAGGUCAUAGUGAUCCGGUGGUUCUGAAUGGAAGGGCCAUCGCUCAACGGAUAAAAGGUACUCCGGGGAUAACAGGCUGAUACCGCCCAAGAGUUCAUAUCGACGGCGGUGUUUGGCACCUCGAUGUCGGCUCAUCACAUCCUGGGGCUGAAGUAGGUCCCAAGGGUAUGGCUGUUCGCCAUUUAAAGUGGUACGCGAGCUGGGUUUAGAACGUCGUGAGACAGUUCGGUCCCUAUCUGCCGUGGGCGCUGGAGAACUGAGGGGGGCUGCUCCUAGUACGAGAGGACCGGAGUGGACGCAUCACUGGUGUUCGGGUUGUCAUGCCAAUGGCACUGCCCGGUAGCUAAAUGCGGAAGAGAUAAGUGCUGAAAGCAUCUAAGCACGAAACUUGCCCCGAGAUGAGUUCUCCCUGACUCCUUGAGAGUCCUGAAGGAACGUUGAAGACGACGACGUUGAUAGGCCGGGUGUGUAAGCGCAGCGAUGCGUUGAGCUAACCGGUACUAAUGAACCGUGAGGCUUAACCUUACAACGCCGAAG
RNAcentral lists this ribosomal RNA (1531 nucleotides) under Escherichia coli. Its description in RNAcentral is "partial 23S ribosomal RNA". It matches the Rfam family "Bacterial large subunit ribosomal RNA", at positions 1428 to 2925 of the family's 2925-position model. The record is from RNAcentral. Lineage: Bacteria; Pseudomonadati; Pseudomonadota; Gammaproteobacteria; Enterobacterales; Enterobacteriaceae.